GAUGAAGAACGUAGCGAAAUGCGAUAAGUAAUGUGAAUUGCAGAAUUCAGUGAAUCAUCGAAUCUUUGAACGCAUCUUGCGCUCCUUGGUAUUCCGAGGAGCAUGCCUGUUUGAGUGUCAUUUCACCACUCAAGCCUGGCUUGGUGUUGGGCGACGUCCUCUUUGGGGACGCGCCUCGAAACGCUCGGCGGCGUGGCACCGGCUUUAAGCGUAGCAGAAUCUUUCGCUUUGGAAGUCGGGGCCCCGUCUGCCGGAAGACCUGCUCGCAAGGUUGACCUCGGAUCAGGCAGGGAUACCCGCUGAACUUAAGCAUAUCAAUAAGCGGAGGA
Molecule: unclassified non-coding RNA, 329 nt
Filed under: soil metagenome
Description: partial contains 5.8S ribosomal RNA, internal transcribed spacer 2, and large subunit ribosomal RNA
Rfam family: 5.8S ribosomal RNA (bases 1-120)
Source: RNAcentral